AUUGAACGCUGGCGGCAGGCCUAACACAUGCAAGUCGAGCGGAGCGGCGGACGGGUGAGUAAUGCCUAGGAAUCUGCCUGGUAGUGGGGGAUAACGUCCGGAAACGGUCGCUAAUACCCCCUACUAUCCUAUUACCCUCGGUCGUAUGAGCUAGUUGGUGGGGUAAAGGCCUACAAAGGCGACGAUCCGUAACUGGUCUGAGAGGAUGAUCAGUCACACUGGAACUGAGACACGGUCCAGACUCCUACGGGAGGCAGCAGUGGGGAAUAUUGGACAAUGGGCGAAAGCCUGAUCCAGCCAUGCCGCGUGUGUGAAGAAGGUCUUCGGAUUGUAAAGCACUUUAAGUUGGGAGGCGUUACCAAAAGAAUAAGCACCGGCUAACUUCGUGCCAGCAGCCGCGGUAAUAG
Molecule: ribosomal RNA, 407 nt
Filed under: uncultured bacterium
Lineage: Bacteria
Description: partial 16S ribosomal RNA
Rfam family: Bacterial small subunit ribosomal RNA
Source: RNAcentral